Molecule: long non-coding RNA, 730 nt
Organism: Lactuca sativa (garden lettuce)
Lineage: Eukaryota; Viridiplantae; Streptophyta; Magnoliopsida; Asterales; Asteraceae
Source: RefSeq, a predicted model, not a curated record
AUAAAAUCGGAUCGACCAAUUCCUCCGGGAGUUAUCCUUAUUGGUUCUCCUCCUCUCAUCUUCAUCUUCAGCAAAGAUCUCGUCCAUGAAAUCCUUGAUGUUCCAACUCACGUUGGUGGCGGCGGCGAUGAUAUUUUAUAAACGGCCCAUGUAUAUAUUCCUACCGGUGGCCACUACAAUAGAUGUCAAUUGUUGUGCUUGACUGAUCAAAUUUGUCUAUUUCUUGGAAUGUGCAACGUCUUCUAUCUAAUAACCAAGAUAUGAAUCUAGUUUUUUUUUUCCAUUAUCUUUCGAUUCAAUUGUUUUUUUGGGGUUUUAAUUGUAAAAUAUUUAAUUUAUUAAAUGCCCAUCGCAAAUGCAAAGGAAAACGCACGAAUCCACAAUCCCCAAAUGACUACAAAUUCUCUUUUAUGGCUAUUUCUCUUAUUAUCGGUGUGUUUUUUUUGUAGAAAUAUGUCAAAUUUCGGUGUUGAUGAUGGAGCAACAGGUAAGCGAUGAAUCAUAACCACAUUAAACUUUAUGGUAAGUAUUUCAAGUGGAACAAUUGGAGCAUAAAUUGUAAAGAUGUAUUCGACUAAUAAAUUGAAAUGUGGCUAACUUUUUAGAACAAAAAGGCAUACCAGUAAUGUUUCUCCUUUUUUACUUAUCGUUUCAUUUUAAUUACAUUUGUUAUUAAUUGUUUUAAUUAGAUUUAGAAGUCGUUUAUAUAUGAUUUGCACUUUUUAGAUCA